GACGAACGCUGGCGGCGUGCUUAACACAUGCAAGUCGAACGAUGAAGUUCCUUCGGGAAUGGAUUAGUGGCGAACGGGUGGGGAACACGUGAACAAUCUGCCCCUUACACGGGAAUAACUUCGGGAAACCGAAGCUAAUACCCGAUAUUGAAUUCGGUAGGCAUCUACUGAAUUUGAAAUGGUCCGCCGGUAAGGGAUGAGUUUGAGGCCUAUCAGCUUGUUGGUGAGGUAACGGCUCACAAAGGGGACGACGGGUAGCCGGCCUGAGAGGGCGACCGGCCACAGUGGGACUGAGACACGGCCCAGACUCCUACGGGAGGCAGCAGUGGGGAAUAUUGCGCAAUGGACGAAAGUCUGACGCGGCAACGCCGCGUGAGGGAUGACGGCCUUCGGGUUGUAAACCUCUUUCAAUCGGGACGAAGCGAAAGUGACGGUACCGAUACAAGAAGCACCGGCUAACUAUGUGCCAGCCGCCGCGGUAA
This 482-nucleotide ribosomal RNA is filed under the name uncultured bacterium. RNAcentral describes it as "partial 16S ribosomal RNA". It matches the Rfam family "Bacterial small subunit ribosomal RNA", at positions 28 to 523 of the family's 1533-position model. The record is from RNAcentral.